AAUGGUUGUGGUGGUGAUGAUGCUGGUUGGGGUGGUGAUGAUCAUGGUGUUGAUGAUGCUGGUUGUGGUGGUGAUGAUCAUGGUGUUGAUUAUGAUGGCAGUUAUAUUGAUGAUGGUGGUAUUCAGAGGAGGUUGGUCACCAGGAACAUGGUGCAUCAUGGUACAAAAUCGUCCAAUCGAAAAAGGGCUUUCAAAAUCACUGUGCCAUGACAUUUAUUCGUGAACUUAGUCUAACAAUCAUACAAAGAGGGAAUUUCAGAACAAUUUUAAGCUAAAAAUAUUCCUUGGCAUGGGCGGAACAUAAUAGUUAUGUUAUAAAGAAGGAUCUUAUUCAAGAAAAAUGGAGAGGACAACGAAGAGAACUCAUAUCGCACAAGGCGAUAACUCCAGGGAAAGCACCAUCUAAAACUCGUUUCAGUCGUCCGACAUCUUCUAGAAAGUCUCUUUUUAAUACAUC
This is a long non-coding RNA of Nematostella vectensis (starlet sea anemone), 457 nucleotides long. RefSeq lists it as uncharacterized. Lineage: Eukaryota; Metazoa; Cnidaria; Anthozoa; Actiniaria; Edwardsiidae. The transcript is spliced from 2 exons. The record is from RefSeq and is a predicted model, not a curated record.